AUGCGCGAGCUGGCGGCGCGGCUGACGGCGGCGGCGUCGGCGGGGGCGCGCGCGGCGGCGGCCGCCGCCCGCCCCACCAGCCCGUCGCGCCCCCGCACCCGGCCGCGGGGCCUCGACGAGGAGACCUGCGCCGCCACGCCCGCCCCCUCGGCCGCGGCCGCGCCGCCCGCCGACGUCCCCAUGGACGCCGACGUCUGGGCGGCGCUCCCGGACGACCUGCUCCUCGAGGUGCUCGCCCGGGUCCCGCCCUUCCUCCUCCCGCGCCUCCGCGCCGUCUCCCGCCGCUGGGCCGCCACGGUGCCGCGCGGCCCGGCCUUCCUCGCCGCGCACGCCGCCGCGCCCUCCCACGGGCCCUGCGUGCUCGCCUUCGCGCGGGGCGGACCGGCCCCCGCCCACUGCGCCGCGCUCAGCCUGCCCCUCCGCGCGCGCUACCGGCUGCCCCUCGCCUUCCUCCCCGCCUGGGACCUCUGGCUCGUCGGCUCCUCGGGGGGCCUCGUCUGCUUCUCCGGCUUCGACGCCUCCUCCGUCUUCCGCACCCUCGUCUGCAACCCGCUCACGCAGGCCUGGCGGGUGCUCCCGGAGAUGCAUCACAACCAGCAGCGCCAGCUCGUGCUCGCCGUCGACAGGAGGCUCCGCUCCUUCAAGGUCAUUGCCACCAGCGAUGUCUACGGGGAGACACUCCCCACCGAGGUCUACGACUCCAAGGCGGACAGAUGGUCCGUGCACCAGAUGAUGCCCGCCGAGAACCUCUGCUCCUCCAAGAUGGCCUUCUGCGACUCCCGGCUGUACCUGGAGACGCUCUCGCCGCUCGGGCUCAUGAUGUACAGAGUGGAUGCGGGCAAAUGGGAGCAUAUACCAGCGAAAUUCCCCCGGUCGCUGCUCGACGGGUAUCUCGUCGCCGGAGCUCGCAAAAGGUUGUUCUUAGUGGGGAGGAUCGGGCUUUACAGCACCCUGCAGAGUAUGAGGAUCUGGGAGCUGGAUCAUGGCAGGACUGUCUGGGUGGAAAUAAGCAGGAUGCCGCCCAAGUACUUUAGAGCUCUGUUGAGGUUGUCUGCUGAGAGAUUUGAGUGCUUUGGGCAGGACAACCUCAUUUGUUUCACCUCGUGGAACCAGGGCAGAGGUCUCCUAUACGAUGUUGACAAGAAGGCUUGGUCGUGGAUUGCUGGCUGCGCAAGCCAAUUGUGCAAUACCCAGUUCUGCUUUUAUGAGCCAAGAUUUGACACAUCGAUCUAUUGA
This 1236-nucleotide ribosomal RNA is filed under the name Triticum aestivum (bread wheat). RNAcentral describes it as "partial small subunit ribosomal RNA". The record is from RNAcentral. Lineage: Eukaryota; Viridiplantae; Streptophyta; Magnoliopsida; Poales; Poaceae.